AUCUGAAAGAGGAAAAAAAAAAAAGACCUGUGUCCCCAGGGCUAGUCCUUUUCCUAGGUCUGGUUUUACAAAUUCUGGUAAUAAAC
Small nucleolar RNA from Peromyscus maniculatus bairdii (prairie deer mouse), 86 nucleotides. Its record names the gene SNORA72. It matches the Rfam family "Small nucleolar RNA SNORA72". From Rfam's summary of the family: U72 is a member of the H/ACA class of snoRNAs. The record is from Ensembl. Lineage: Eukaryota; Metazoa; Chordata; Mammalia; Rodentia; Cricetidae.